CCUACGGGAGGCAGCAGUGGGGAAUAUUGCACAAUGGGCGCAAGCCUGAUGCAGCCAUGCCGCGUGUAUGAAGAAGGCCUUCGGGUUGUAAAGUACUUUCAGCGGGGAGGAAGGUGUUGUGGUUAAUAACCGCAGCAAUUGACGUUACCCGCAGAAGAAGCACCGGCUAACUCCGUGCCAGCAGCCGCGGUAAUA
RNAcentral lists this ribosomal RNA (195 nucleotides) under Enterobacter sp. M3(2015). RNAcentral's name for it is "partial 16S ribosomal RNA". It matches the Rfam family "Bacterial small subunit ribosomal RNA", at positions 338 to 525 of the family's 1533-position model. The record is from RNAcentral. Lineage: Bacteria; Pseudomonadati; Pseudomonadota; Gammaproteobacteria; Enterobacterales; Enterobacteriaceae.